UGUCUUCGACUUGGCUGUUUUCCUUUAGUGAGUCAGAGCUAGUGUUACUGCUUUUCAUUGCUUGAACAGGCUCCACAGGCCCAUGACACCUCUCUUAAGAGUUUUAAGAGUUGUUGCUCAUGUGAUGGGGAUCAUCUGGCAACUCUGCUUAAUGUUACUGAGGCAGACAGGACCUCUUCCUGCCUGAAAUACUGGAAGAUGACAAUAAGAUUUAUGUUCAGAUCAUCUCAGUCCUGUGUGCAUGUGGGAUGUUUAGACAGUGAAGCUGUUCAGAAGUGACUGUCAGAGGAGCAAAAAGUGAUUCAACAGCAUAUGAAGUGCUGGAUACAUCCCACAUCAUUGGUAAUGUAUGAUCUGUAUUUGAAAAAUAUAACCAAGACGGAAUAUUUACAUGUUUAAUUUUUUUUUUUUCCUGGAUGACUGACUAUAAUUUGACUAUAAUAUCAGACUGAGUUUGCUCUGCGUUAGGGUAUUUGGAUCACUUUUAGUUUACCAGGGCCUGAAAUACACAUACAGAAAUUCAUGAUGGAAGUGUUUGUUUUGGAGAUUCUGAUUUAAUUUAACUCUUGUGGAAACUAAAGGCUGUAGCUGACUUCACUGGGACUUGAACAGAGCAGGUAAGCAUGUUUUUUCCCCAUAGUGUUGCUUUAGGUUUCUGUCUCCUAUGUAUUUAGAAAGGCUUCAGAUGUUCCUUUAGUAUGUAACUAUAGGACUGGGUAACGUGUUUCUAAGAUGCUGAGACACAGUUACAGAAUAUAAUCUAUCGUUUAAAUAUCCAAAUACAAAACUAAGGAUUUGCCUUAGGUGAUCAGUGUUGCAGAGUUGUUAAUUAACCUGCACUUAGAUUGCAUCUGUGAUUCAGUCUGAGCUAAAAACUAGAGUCUUCUAUGUCAGUUCUGCAUUGACUUGUGAGUUCAUGCUGUCUGCUUAGGCACCUGAUUAUCUUCUGACCUGAGGUGUCCACAUUUCCUGUCUAGUCAGUGGAAGGAGUUGAAAGCCUUGGGGGCAUGAAUCACAGCAUUGUAGUGUUUCACAAAAUAGUAAUGCAGUAAGCAGUAGUAAUUCAGUAAGCAGUAUUAAAAAGCAUGAGCAGAAAUAGUUUUUAUGUGAGUUGGGAGUAAGGCAGUAUGGUUUUGUGACUACUGUGUUGGCUGAAGGUAGCUGUGUCUGUUGGCUUCCACCUCACUUACACAUCUUGACAUGCCACUGUCCCUGCAUGCCCCGGUUUGCCAAGGUCAUACAGAAUUGUGGAUGGCUCUUGUCCCCAGCCCAGGAAAUC
This 1279-nucleotide long non-coding RNA is filed under the name Cyanistes caeruleus (blue tit). RNAcentral describes it as "lncRNA (ENSCCEG00000015701.1)". Lineage: Eukaryota; Metazoa; Chordata; Aves; Passeriformes; Paridae. The record is from RNAcentral.